AGGGAGUUACUCCAGUCUAUUGGUAGCGGUAGACCUCCUCGGAGAAGAACAGUAGGGGGCAGUGUAUGCUGCUAAAGGUUGAAUGCGAUCCGCCAACCCAAUCUCAAAGAAGAAGAACGUAAUUCGCUAACGCCGUAUUUUCGAAAUGGCAUAUCUCGAGUUCAAGUUUGAGGACGAAAUUACUAAAUAUAUUCGGGAACAAGAAUUGGCAACGUCACUGAAAUUCGUAAUAUUGGGAAAGGACAAAAGUUUUGGACAAAAGGAUGCACAGCCUUUGGCACGGAAAAAACUCAGCUGGGAGAGUAAAAGUAUCCCGUUCAAUGGUGUUCCGUUUCAAGUUGUUGGCACAAAGACGUAUGAAUGCCACCAGGGCAAAGACAGACAGACAAAAGCCAAAGAGAAAUAUGCUGCUGAAAGAGACAAGAAGGAACUUGAAGACCAUGCCUUUGUAAAGAGACGGAAACUGGUACAAAAUACCAAAAAGGUGGACUGCAAGGCUAUAAUAAACAUCGCCCACGUUAUUCGCUUUCCUGAUUUUAAGAUUGAGGAAGGUACAGUGCGCUCUAAAAAGGAGGCCUCCCAAACUCUGAAGGCAGCACUAAGUGAAACACCCAGCUCCGUGAAGGCAGAGGUUGUCUACUGCGUCAGGUUCCCCUCCCUCUCUGAGCACAGCUCACAUGCAGUUGUUGGCGAGGCAGCUCAUGUUAGGGAAGCUGUAGAUGCCAGGCUGAGAGAGAAGAUUGAGCAGCUGACUCUGUCUGGUGUGAGAAAGAUGACUGAAAUGAAGUGUCAUCUGAACACCUUUGUAGUGGAAGAGCUUUUCCAUGGAGAGCAGCCCCCUCCACCUACUCGCAGGCGCUAUUACCCCACUGACAGUGACAUAAGAAAUGUCAUGUUUAAGACCAAGCGGGCCACCGGAGACUCCAACAUUGACCGUCCAUACGAAGGUCCAUCUGGAAGAGGAAAGAAGAGGUCCUCUAGGAAGCUGUUGCGGUUACGGAGGCAAUGUGCAGGAUAUCUUAAAGAGAUCACAGAACUCACUUAUCAUCUCCAAGAGGAACAGUACGUGACUGACCUGUCUUCACAGCUCAGAAGUGUGCUGCUGGAUAUGAAGGCCCAUGUUCCACAGGAUAAAGACCUUCCACUGACCUUUUCUCCAAGGAAGAGAAAAGCUGAGAUGGACAUGGACCUCAUUCCAACCAAGAGUGCAUCACACCCUUUCAUAGAUGGGUUAGAACAGCAUACAGAGGACAUAGUGAGUGUGGAUACCUUGUUGGCAUUGAGCCUAGGUUAGUAGGGCUGAGUGGAUACCUUGUUGGCAUUGAGCCUAGGGUAGUAGGGCUGAGUGGAUACCUUGUUGGCAUUGAGCCUAGGGUAGUAGGGCUGAGUGGAUACCUUGUUGGCAUUGAGCCUAGGUUAGUAGGGCUGUGUGGAUACCUUGUUGGUAUUGAGCCUAGGUUAGUAGGGCUGAGUGGAUACCUUGUUGGUAUUUAGCCUAGGUUAGUAGGGCUGAGUGGAUAUGUUGGUAUUUAGCCUAGGGCUGAUGACUGUGUGGAUACCUUGUUGGCAUUGAGCCUAGGGUCAUAGGGCUGCGUGGAUACCUUGUUUACAUUGAGCCUAUGGUAGUAGGGCUGCGUGGAUACCUUGUUGGCAUUGAGCCUAGGUUAGUAGGGCUGCGUGGAUACCUUGUUGGUAUUUAGCCUAGGGCUGAUGACUGUGUGGGUUCUGCCUCCAAUUGAGUAUAUUUUGGGUAGUGUAACUUUUAUUUCAACUAAUGUUACUGUAACGGAUGUGAAAUGGCUAGCUAGAUUAAAGUUAUACUGUUACAUUAACAACUUCAUUAAAACAUGUUUUCUCAUCUGUACAACAAAUACAUGACUAUAGUACGUCAUUUAGGAGGCAUAUAUAAACACACGGUUCCACUCAUCUGCAGCUACUCUGCACUUUAUUGUAUUCUGGUCUGUCCUGAUGCCUAGUCACUUUACCCUGCACAUUUAUCUCUUUGAUCUGGUACUUCCUGUAUAUAGCUGCACAUUGAUCUGGUACUGGUAAUCCCUGUAUAUAGCUGCGCAUUGAUCUGGUACUGGUAAUCCCUGUAUAUAGCUGCACAUUGAUCUGGUACUGGUAAUCCCUGUAUAUAGUUGCACAUUGAUCUGGUACUGGUAAUCCCUGUAUAUGGUGUUAUUAUUGUGUAUUCUAUUCCUCUUGUUACAAUCCCCAUGUUUUUUUAAAAACUUUGAAUCGUUGUGAAGGGCUGUAAGCAAGAAUUUCACGGUUAAGUCUACACACCUGUUAUAUUCGGCGCAUGUGACAAAUAAAAUUUGUUUUUGAAGUGCCCAAAUAAAGUAACAGGGUUGACCUUAAAAGUGUUGACGUUUAAUCUUAAAUCAGACCAUUUCUAAAUAUGCAUUAAUGACAGUUUCUUUGAAGCUGUGUAUGUUUUACUUGUGGAUUUUUUUUAAACAAAAAUUUAAAAUCAAGAUGUAUCAAUUUGUUUUUAUUUUUAUAAUGGCAUGUACAUAUUGGAGUAAACCUAUUUUGGGUUAAAACAACUAACACUCGAGUAAGGGCCAACAUGAUUAGCUUGCAACCUGAUUGAGUGGUUGAUCUGGUUGAGUGCAUUGUUUUACAACUAAGUAUUCCCUUUCCUUGAAUAAGCAACCUGGUCUCAGAGCAUUUGGUAUUAUUCUGUACGUAAAUCCAAG
Long non-coding RNA from Oncorhynchus tshawytscha (Chinook salmon), 2705 nucleotides. Lineage: Eukaryota; Metazoa; Chordata; Actinopteri; Salmoniformes; Salmonidae. The record is from Ensembl.